UACAGAGGGGGCAAGCGUUAUUCGGAAUUAUUGGGCGUAAAGGGCGCGUAGGCGGCGAUUCAAGUGACGGGUGAAAUCCCUCGGCUUAACCGAGGAACUGCCUGUCAGACUGGAUUGCUUGAGGCCGGGAGAGGCGAGUGGAAUUCCCAGUGUAGCGGUGAAAUGCGUAGAUAUUGGGAGGAACACCAGUGGCGAAGGCGGCUCGCUGGACCGGUUUUGACGCUGAGGCGCGAAAGCGUGAGGAGCAAACAGG
This 253-nucleotide ribosomal RNA is filed under the name uncultured bacterium. RNAcentral's name for it is "partial 16S ribosomal RNA". It matches the Rfam family "Bacterial small subunit ribosomal RNA", at positions 524 to 776 of the family's 1533-position model. The record is from RNAcentral.